RNAcentral lists this long non-coding RNA (1531 nucleotides) under Phaseolus vulgaris (common bean). Its description in RNAcentral is "long non-coding RNA (PVUL_LNC005348)". The record is from RNAcentral. Lineage: Eukaryota; Viridiplantae; Streptophyta; Magnoliopsida; Fabales; Fabaceae.
UUAGCUAUGAUGGAAAGAUUUGAGACAGGUGUCAGAAGAAGAGCUAGAUACUGAGCUUGCGAAGGUAAGCAAGUGCACAUCAAGCAAGGGAGCAGGAGGGAGGUUGAUAGAGAUGCGCAGCAGCAUAUAAGAGCGUUUCAAUCCCCACUUCCCAAAAUGGCUUCCACACUCUGCUCCUCUUCCACUUGUACACCAACACCAUCGUCCCUUUUCUCCUCCUUCACGCUACGACGUCGUUUGCCCCUCGUCGGAGCCUUUUGCAUGCUCAGUUUGGGACUCUCUAAUCUCUACACCCCCUCGUAUUCCUCUGCCCUCAAAACGGGGUGCGUUCUGUCUCUCUUGCGGUAUUCGCUGUUCCGUCUUCGUAACAUCGUCCACUUUCUCUUCCUUUCUCUCUCCAUUGAGUUCAAUUCAAUUGCCUUCACGUGCGUUGGUGGUUGUGCAGGUAAGAAGUUGGCUGAAAGCAUUGCCACAGAGAAGCUUGCAGCUUUUGUGAACAUUGUACCGGGUGAGAAUUUCCCACUUGAGAUCUGUUAUAAUCACUCACAACACACUGCAACUUUGUGUAUCUAAUGGUUUAAAAUUAGUAAUAUCUGGGAGGGGUUUGGUACUUCUAGAUAUUAAUUGUAGUAACAGAGUACUUUUUCUAAUUAUGUUAUUUUUUGUGAUUUUGUCCCUGGAUUUGAAUUGAUUUGAUAAAUACUUGAUUCUGGACAACGAGAACGAACAACAAAUGUGCUUGCCAUUGCAUAACAGUUAACUACUAAUAAUGUAUUGGGCUGUGUACUGUCUUGAGUUAGAUUUUUGUUUUAAAUGAAAUAGCAAGCUCCGGAAUAAAAAAAAAUUGCUUGUAUUAUGGGUUACUUUGUUUGCAUAUACCAAUCAAUGUAGACGUCCCUCUUUUUUUUAUGUUCACUUGAUCACUUAAAUUGAACGUGAUUCUAUUAAUCGAAAAUAGUUUCUCUGAUUGAAAAUAUUUUGAAUAUUUUUAGUUACCUUCACGCGUGGCCAGAACUUCUUUUUGCAUUCUUUGUAAUGCCACAUGUAGGUAACCAAGACUUGAAUGAAUUCCACCACUUGACAAGUUUUCUUCACUUUUAGUUUAUAUACUUGUUUCACUUAUGGUGUGUGUGACCAUGUCCACCAGUGGCAUUGUUCUGGUAGGGUGGAAAAGGCCAGUUUUGAUAUGGUCUUGACUAGAGCUGCUUAAGGUCUCUUGAUCACAAGAAAUUGGCAUAACAGUUAGAAAUAAACAAGCGCUCUUCUAAUUGUGAAAAUAAAACUAAAGAGGGAUACCCAAAAAGCUGGUGGGCAAUUGCAAGAGCAGUAGUUGUUUUUCUUCUUCAGUCCAUCUUUCAUACUGCUCUUUUCACCAUGUUUCUCUUUAAAUAGUUUAAAAGUCAGACUCCAUCUGUUUAUACUUGCUGCAUGUGUGAUUUUCCUCUAAGUACAUCAGAUACACUCAAAAUAUUAUAAGAUAUUUUAAGAAGUGAUAGAAGUCACAUUCUAUUAUGCACUAUCUUAUGUAUCC